AUUAGAACGCUUUGGAAAGAGCGGCCAUAGACGGUGAUAGCCCGGUAUAAGUAAAGACAGUUACAGAUAGUAGUAUCCUGAGUAGUGCGGGGCACGUGAAACCCUGUAUGAAUUUGGCGGGACCAUCCGUUAAGGCUAAAUACUCCUGAGAGACCGAUAGUGAACCAGUACCGUGAGGGAAAGGUGAAAAGAACCCUGAAUAAGGGAGUGAAAUAGAACCUGAAACCAUACGCUUACAAGCGGUCGGAGCGAUAAGUGACGGCGUGCCUUUUGCAUAAUGAGCCUACGAGUUACUUUAACUAGCGAGGUUAAGGCCUUCAGGGCCGGAUCCGUAGCGAAAGCGAGUCUGAA
RNAcentral lists this ribosomal RNA (351 nucleotides) under uncultured eukaryote. RNAcentral describes it as "partial Bacterial large subunit ribosomal RNA". It matches the Rfam family "Bacterial large subunit ribosomal RNA", at positions 331 to 687 of the family's 2925-position model. The record is from RNAcentral.